GACGAACGCUGGCAGCGUGCCUAAUACAUGCAAGUUGAGCGCUGAAGGUUGGUACUUGUACCAACUGGAUGAGCAGCGAACGGGUGAGUAACGCGUGGGGAAUCUGCCUUUGAGCGGGGGACAACAUUUGGAAACGAAUGCUAAUACCGCAUAAAAACUUUAAACACAAGUUUUAAGUUUGAAAGAUGCAAUUGCAUCACUCAAAGAUGAUCCCGCGUUGUAUUAGCUAGUUGGUGAGGUAAAGGCUCACCAAGGCGAUGAUACAUAGCCGACCUGAGAGGGUGAUCGGCCACAUUGGGACUGAGACACGGCCCAAACUCCUACGGGAGGCAGCAGUAGGGAAUCUUCGGCAAUGGACGAAAGUCUGACCGAGCAACGCCGCGUGAGUGAAGAAGGUUUUCGGAUCGUAAAACUCUGUUGGUAGAGAAGAACGUUGGUGAGAGUGGAAAGCUCAUCAAGUGACGGUAACUACCCAGAAAGGGACGGCUAACUACGUGCCAGCAGCCGCGGUAAUACGUAGGUCCCGAGCGUUGUCCGGAUUUAUUGGGCGUAAAGCGAGCGCAGGUGGUUUAUUAAGUCUGGUGUAAAAGGCAGUGGCUCAACCAUUGUAUGCAUUGGAAACUGGUAGACUUGAGUGCAGGAGAGGAGAGCGGAAUUCCAUGUGUAGCGGUGAAAUGCGUAGAUAUAUGGAGGAACACCGGUGGCGAAAGCGGCUCUCUGGCCUGUAACUGACACUGAGGCUCGAAAGCGUGGGGAGCAAACAGG
RNAcentral lists this ribosomal RNA (765 nucleotides) under uncultured Lactococcus sp. RNAcentral describes it as "bacterial SSU rRNA". It matches the Rfam family "Bacterial small subunit ribosomal RNA", at positions 28 to 776 of the family's 1533-position model. The record is from RNAcentral. Lineage: Bacteria; Bacillati; Bacillota; Bacilli; Lactobacillales; Streptococcaceae.